Aedes albopictus (Asian tiger mosquito) is the source of this 384-nucleotide long non-coding RNA. RefSeq lists it as uncharacterized. The record is from RefSeq and is a predicted model, not a curated record. NCBI's taxonomy places the organism in Eukaryota, Metazoa, Arthropoda, Insecta, Diptera, Culicidae. The transcript is spliced from 2 exons.
GAAUCCGGCAUUACGCUUUAAGGAGUAAAAAGUACCCUUUUUUUUGCUGGUAUAUGAAACUGUCAAGAUAAAGGGUACUUGUCAAAUUUUUAAAAUGGGUAAUUUUUGCCCUUCUUAGAAUUCCUACCGAGUACUCUUCAAAGAGUGAAAAUGUUGUUGAAGUUUUUCGAGGUGCAUCCAAGAGUGAUGUUUUUCAUUUUGCUGAUUUUUGCGGAAUGUCAGAGGCCGCGAGCAUGGUUCUGCUCGGUUCUGCCCUCCACCUGGAUCAAAGUUGGAUCUGCAGGCUUCCUCCAACCAGUUGCGGUAUAAAGGUCCGUGUUCCGACUUGCAAAACCCAUAGGAAUAAUGUUAGUAUUAUAAUUAAUAAAUAUUUCGCAUGAACAA